UGCUUCAGAAAUGUCCUGUGAAACUCGC
Molecule: non-coding RNA, 28 nt
Filed under: Mus musculus (house mouse)
Lineage: Eukaryota; Metazoa; Chordata; Mammalia; Rodentia; Muridae
Source: RNAcentral